RNAcentral lists this ribosomal RNA (255 nucleotides) under uncultured bacterium. Its description in RNAcentral is "partial 16S ribosomal RNA". It matches the Rfam family "Bacterial small subunit ribosomal RNA", at positions 524 to 776 of the family's 1533-position model. The record is from RNAcentral.
UACGGGGGGAGCAAGCGUUGUUCGGAUUUACUGGGCGUAAAGGGCGCGUAGGCGGUCAGCACAAGUCAGUUGUGAAAUCUCCGGGCUUAACUCGGAAAGGUCAACUGAUACUGUGCGACUAGAGUGCGGAAGGGGCAACUGGAAUUCUCGGUGUAGCGGUGAAAUGCGUAGAUAUCAAGAGGAACACCUGAGGCGAAGGCGGGUUGCUAGGCUGACACUGACGCUGAGUGCGCGAAAGCCAGGGGAGCAAACGGG